This 305-nucleotide ribosomal RNA is filed under the name uncultured bacterium. RNAcentral describes it as "bacterial SSU rRNA". It matches the Rfam family "Bacterial small subunit ribosomal RNA", at positions 334 to 638 of the family's 1533-position model. The record is from RNAcentral.
CAUGCCUAGGGAGGCAGCAGUGAGGAAUAUUGGUCAAUGGGAGAGAUCCUGAACCAGCCAAGCCGCGUGAGGGAAGACGGCCCGAUGGGUUGUAAACUUCUUUUGUCGGAGAACAAAACCCGGGACGAGUCCCGGACUGCGUGUAUCCGAAGAAAAAGCAUCGGCUAACUCCGUGCCAGCAGCCGCGGUAAUACGGAGGAUGCGAGCGUUAUCCGGAUUUAUUGGGUUUAAAGGGUGCGUAGGCGGUCCGUUAAGUCAGCGGUAAAAUUGCGGGGCUCAACCCCGUCGAGCCGUUGAAACUGGCA